Equus caballus (horse) is the source of this 2578-nucleotide long non-coding RNA. The record is from Ensembl. NCBI's taxonomy places the organism in Eukaryota, Metazoa, Chordata, Mammalia, Perissodactyla, Equidae.
AGAUUAGCCCUGAGCUAACUACUGCCAGUCCUCCUCUUUCUGCUGAGGAAGCCUGGCCCUGAGCUAAUAUCCGUGCCCGUCUCCCUCUACUUUAUAUGUGGGACGCCUACCACAGCAUAGCAUGCCAAGCGGUGCCAUGUCCGCACCCGGGAUCCGAACUGGCGAACCCCGGGCCGCUGAGAAGCGGACUGUGUGCACUUAACCACUUCGCUACUGGGCUGGCCCCUGUCCCUUCAUUUCUUUGCUCACGUUUUCUGUCAGUUGUCCUUAUUCACUUCCCUCCUGAUCCCUGCAUGCACAUUUUCUUUCUUCCUGCCUCAUCACUCUUUUUUUUUUUUUGCAUUCCCCUGCCCUGGAAGCCCACCCAUACCUUUUUUUUUGUCUUCUGAUAUUCAUCAAGAUGGGCAUUUAACAUGAUUUGGUGUGUGCCUUUUGAAAAUGGAGAGAACGGAGUGUCUGAUUCCAGUCACUAUUCCUCCAUUUUAUGCUUUCAGCACAGCUGAGGAUCCACACUCAUUGCUCCCUUCUGAGCCAAGAGGUUACCCAUUCUAACAGACAGGACUGUAAGUGCCUGCUCAAUUAUUGCCCCUUCUGAGGAACAUUAUAGCAGGUGAUUUCUCCGACAGCUGAUCAGACAAAGGAUUGGUCUGAAGGCAGCAUCCACAGCCACCUGCAACCUGAAAAGUUUCAGCUGCAGAGAGCUAAUGAUUCCAGGCUUCAGGUGAAAAGCACUGGCCUUCCUCAGGCGGAAGCAGGAACUAGUUCUCUGCGUGGGCUGGAGCACCCUUCAGCAAACCAGACCACUUAGGCAAGGUUUUGAAAAACCAUGAAGGAAAUCAUGAAGAAUGAUGUUGACUGGCCCAUCUUAAAUCGCUUGCCACCUGGACCAAUCACUAUGGCCCCCAGAGCAGAACCAUUUGAGAAGAGGCAGCUCCCUGGUGGAGCAUCCCAUGUGAGAGUGGGGAGAAGGACCACGCUCUACAGGAGGGAGGGUGCAGCGCUCAUCAGAAGCAAGGGAGGUGAACAACCCCUUGAGGAAUCAAUGUCUCCUUCAAAUGUUCCCCCUUUUUUACUGGCCAGCUCCAUCUCCUUCUCGGGUUGCACCUCAGGGGCCCUAGAAGCUUUCCCCAUUCGCAGCCCAAGCAUUCUGAGAGCUUGGGAGGGUUUGGUGAGUGAAGGUGAAAGAAAGGACAUAGGGAGGACGAGCAGAGCAAACUAUAUUUACUUCACUUACAUGCUUCAGGUCAGUCAUGUUUUGGGGAUCCUUCUCUGUGGUAUUGGUGUGUGCAAAACAGGAACAUCUGUCCUUUAACGUUGCUGCUCAAAAGGGAAUCAGUUUAUCAGGGGUGAAUUGUGUCUGUCUGGGAUGAUUUCUUAAAUCUCUUCCAGCCCAGUGAUUCUGGUAAUUGUCCUUGUUCCUGAUGUCCCAGCAAUUGUGACAUUCAAGCUCAGUUCUAAAUUAGUCUCCUCUCUUUCUUCUCUCCCCUUCUAGAGGAAUGAAGAGGAGAAGGGGGAGAGAAAUGAAGCUUCUGUGUGUUUUCUUCCAUCUGAACACUGCCAAUGUGUAUCUCCAUGUGAUUUUAUUGAAAUUUUGAGCUUCAUGAUCCUGCCACCAGUGAAACUUUGUUAGCCUUGCUUGCUGUCUGUGGGUGGACUAGGCUUGUAUAAUUAUAACAGAUUAAAAAAGGGAGUUCUGAAUUUCACUUGCCAAGGUUUUGUUUGAUAAAUUAAUACACAAAUAAGACAUUUUUUACAUUUUACUUCUACUAAUACCUAUAGCAAGAUGAUAUCAGUGAAUAUUUUAUAAAAUUUUAGAGUGUUAGAGCUAUGUGGAACUUCAGAAAUCCUCUGAAUCUACUUUAUUUUUUAAAGAUGAGAAAGAUGCUGAGGCUGGUGACACACAAGAGUUAGUUGAAGAAGUAGGCAUCUUAGCUCUCUCCAAGCCAGGGACUUUUCUAGUUUAUAUUGAUGCUUCUUACAUCUUAAAUCAAGUGGGUAAUUAGAAAACUUACGUUUCACUACUUUAUUUAGAUUAAUCAGAGUGGAGGAGUGUAGAUCAGUGGGUUCCAAACUUAUGGUAGUAAAUGUAGAAAUAGUGUUAACAGAAGAGUUAGCCCCAGGGUUUUCUCUCUUGAAAUUACUUGAUUCCAAACCCACUUUUAAGUCUCUUUCUCUCCUUUCCUCCCUCUCUCUUCUCUUGCUCCCACUCUUCCUGCAACGUAAGAUCCUUUUAGGUGGUCAGGACGCAUCUUGGUAUCUGGUUGCCUGGAAUUAAACAUAUUUCCCCAAGAAAUGCAUUUGUGUUUUCAAGAAGAAUAUUGUUUAAUUUAGAAAGAAUAAAUAAAUUCACAUAGCAAGAUUUGUCAAUAAUGGAUGAAAAUCACAGAAGCUUGACAUGGAAACUUCUCUCAUUAUUCAUUUCAAAGCUGUAAUGGAUUUUUAGAAGAACAGAGCAUUUUUGUAGAAAGUUUUAUAGAUUGUAAAGCGCUUUCAUAUACAUAAAAUCUUAUUUGAUUAGGGUUGCCAGAUUUGACAACAACAACAAAAAAGAACACCUACUUAGAUUUGAAUUCCAGAU